RNAcentral lists this ribosomal RNA (301 nucleotides) under uncultured bacterium. RNAcentral's name for it is "partial 16S ribosomal RNA". It matches the Rfam family "Bacterial small subunit ribosomal RNA", at positions 509 to 807 of the family's 1533-position model. The record is from RNAcentral.
CAGCCGCCGCGGUAACACGGAGGGGGCUAGCGUUGUUCGGAAUUACUGGGCGUAAAGCGCACGUAGGCGGCUUGGUAAGUUAGAGGUGAAAGCCCAGGGCUCAACCCUGGAAUUGCCUUUAAGACUGCCGAGCUAGUAGGUGAGAGAGGUAAGUGGAAUUCCGAGUGUAGAGGUGAAAUUCGUAGAUAUUCGGAAGAACACCAGUGGCGAAGGCGGCUUACUGGCUCAUUCUAGACGCUGAGGUGCGAAAGCGUGGGGAGCAAACAGGAUUAGAUACCCCGGUAGUCCCUGUCUCUUAUAC